AGUGAACGCUGGCGGCAGGCCUAACACAUGCAAGUCGAGCGGCAGCGCGGGGGCAACCCUGGCGGCGAGCGGCGGACGGGUGAGGAAUGCAUCGGAAUCUACCUCGUUGUGGGGGAUAACGUAGGGAAACUUACGCUAAUACCGCAUACGACCUACGGGUGAAAGUGGGGGACCUUCGGGCCUCACGCGAUGAGAUGAGCCGAUGCCGGAUUAGCUAGUUGGCGGGGUAAAGGCCCACCAAGGCGACGAUCCGUAGCUGGUCUGAGAGGAUGAUCAGCCACACUGGAACUGAGACACGGUCCAGACUCCUACGGGAGGCAGCAGUGGGGAAUAUUGGACAAUGGGCGCAAGCCUGAUCCAGCCAUGCCGCGUGUGUGAAGAAGGCCUC
This 388-nucleotide ribosomal RNA is filed under the name uncultured bacterium. RNAcentral's name for it is "bacterial SSU rRNA". It matches the Rfam family "Bacterial small subunit ribosomal RNA", at positions 30 to 418 of the family's 1533-position model. The record is from RNAcentral.